This 387-nucleotide ribosomal RNA is filed under the name uncultured bacterium. Its description in RNAcentral is "bacterial SSU rRNA". It matches the Rfam family "Bacterial small subunit ribosomal RNA", at positions 28 to 417 of the family's 1533-position model. The record is from RNAcentral.
AUUGAACGCUGGCGGCAUGCUUUACACAUGCAAGUCGAGCGGCAGCGCGGGGGCAACCCUGGCGGCGAGCGGCGAACGGGUGAGUAAUGCAUCGGAACGUACCCUGGAGUGGGGGAUAACGCCGCGAAAGCGGCGCUAAUACCGCAUAUGCUCUGAGGAGGAAAGUGGGGGGACCGCAAGGCCUCACGCUCUGGGAGCGGCCGAUGUCCGAUUAGCUAGUUGGUGGGGUAAAGGCUUACCAAGGCGACGAUCGGUAGCUGGUCUGAGAGGAUGAUCAGCCACACUGGGACUGAGACACGGCCCAGACUCCUACGGGAGGCAGCAGUGGGAAUUUUGGACAAUGGGGGCAACCCUGAUCCAGCCAUGCCGCGUGAGUGAAGAAGGCCU